GGCUAGAUAAUCUAAAGAAAGAUAUUUCGCUGUAAACGAAAAUAUAAGACAUACCUUUCCAGCCA
Molecule: transfer RNA, 65 nt
Filed under: Docosaccus maculatus
Lineage: Eukaryota; Metazoa; Porifera; Hexactinellida; Lyssacinosida; Euplectellidae
Description: tRNA-Tyr
Source: RNAcentral